This 488-nucleotide ribosomal RNA is filed under the name uncultured bacterium. RNAcentral's name for it is "partial 16S ribosomal RNA". It matches the Rfam family "Bacterial small subunit ribosomal RNA", at positions 30 to 507 of the family's 1533-position model. The record is from RNAcentral.
UGAACGCUGGCGGCAGGCCUAACACAUGCAAGUCGAACGGUAACAGGAAGCAGCUUGCUGCUUCGCUGACGAGUGGCGGACGGGUGAGUAAUGUCUGGGAAACUGCCUGAUGGAGGGGGAUAACUACUGGAAACGGUAGCUAAUACCGCAUAACGUCGCAAGACCAAAGAGGGGGACCUUAGGGCCUCUUGCCAUCGGAUGUGCCCAGAUGGGAUUAGCUAGUAGGUGGGGUAACGGCUCACCUAGGCGACGAUCCCUAGCUGGUCUGAGAGGAUGACCAGCCACACUGGAACUGAGACACGGUCCAGACUCCUACGGGAGGCAGCAGUGGGGAAUAUUGCACAAUGGGCGCAAGCCUGAUGCAGCCAUGCCGCGUGUAUGAAGAAGGCCUUCGGGUUGUAAAGUACUUUCAGCGGGGAGGAAGGGAGUAAAGUUAAUACCUUUGCUCAUUGACGUUACCCGCAGAAGAAGCACCGGCUAACUCCGUG